RNAcentral lists this ribosomal RNA (248 nucleotides) under uncultured Enterorhabdus sp. RNAcentral describes it as "partial 16S ribosomal RNA". It matches the Rfam family "Bacterial small subunit ribosomal RNA", at positions 524 to 770 of the family's 1533-position model. Lineage: Bacteria; Bacillati; Actinomycetota; Coriobacteriia; Eggerthellales; Eggerthellaceae. The record is from RNAcentral.
UACGUAGGGGGCAAGCGUUAUCCGGAUUCAUUGGGCGUAAAGCGCGCGCAGGCGGACCGUUAAGCGGGACCUCUAAUCCUAAGGCUCAACCUUAGACCGGGUCCCGAACUGGCGUAGUCUCGAGUGCGGUAGGGGAGAUCGGAAUUCCCGGUGUAGCGGUGGAAUGCGCAGAUAUCGGGAAGAACACCGAUGGCGAAGGCAGAUCUCUGGGCCGUCACUGACGCUGAGGCGCGAAAGCUAGGGGAGCG